This is a long non-coding RNA of Mauremys reevesii (Reeves's turtle), 474 nucleotides long. RefSeq lists it as uncharacterized. The record is from RefSeq and is a predicted model, not a curated record. Lineage: Eukaryota; Metazoa; Chordata; Testudines; Geoemydidae. The transcript has 3 exons.
GUGUGGAGUUAACUGGUGACUGGGCUCAGUGUUAGUCAGACUUAGCUACUGAAGUAUUUAUAUGUUUUCCCUAAGUAGGAGUGUAUAUCUUCCUGAGCAGAGGAUGGAGUCAGAAGCAAUCCAUCACACAGAUACUAAAGCAGAAAUAAGGAUAAAUCAUUGCACUUCUAAUGAUAGAAUAUCUCCGCUCCACCUCCAAAGACAUAGUCAAGGCCAUGAGAAGAAUAUGGAAGUUGACUCAGAGGGCUCCAAAUCCUGCUGUUAUGGCAAAGAAAGAUUCCUACCACUUUGUUACAGCCUGCUUAUGAAAUGUUCUGUCUGCUUUCAAGAAGAAUAUUGUUUACUUUCACUUCCCCAGGAAACACACCUGCUAGAAUGUUAAAGUUUAACUGAUGGACUGAAUGAUAUGCGCCUCUUCUUUCUUGAGGACUCAUACAUAUAUUAGUAAAUAUUAAUGCAUUUGAUUGUUAAGAA